UACGGGGGGGGCAAGCGUUGUUCGGAAUUACUGGGCGUAAAGGGCUUGUAGGUGGCCAACUAAGUCAGACGUGAAAUCCCUCGGCUUAACCGGGGAACUGCGUCUGAUACUGGAUGGCUUGAGUUUGGGAGAGGGACGCGGAAUUCCAGGUGUAGCGGUGAAAUGCGUAGAUAUACGGAGGAACACCUGCGGCGAAGGCGGGUAGCUGGGCCAACACUGACGCUGAGACGCGAAAGCUAGGGGAGCAAACGGG
This 253-nucleotide ribosomal RNA is filed under the name uncultured bacterium. Its description in RNAcentral is "partial 16S ribosomal RNA". It matches the Rfam family "Bacterial small subunit ribosomal RNA", at positions 524 to 776 of the family's 1533-position model. The record is from RNAcentral.